UACGUAGGGUGCAAGCGUUAAUCGGAAUUACUGGGCGUAAAGCGUGCGCAGGCGGCUUUGCAAGACAGAUGUGAAAUCCCCGGGCUCAACCUGGGAACUGCAUUUGUGACUGCAUGGCUGGAGUGCGGCAGAGGGGGAUGGAAUUCCGCGUGUAGCAGUGAAAUGCGUAGAUAUGCGGAGGGACACCGAUGGCGAAGGCAAUCCCCUGGGCCUGCACUGACGCUCAUGCACGAAAGCGUGGGGAGCAAACAGG
RNAcentral lists this ribosomal RNA (253 nucleotides) under uncultured bacterium. RNAcentral describes it as "partial 16S ribosomal RNA". It matches the Rfam family "Bacterial small subunit ribosomal RNA", at positions 524 to 776 of the family's 1533-position model. The record is from RNAcentral.